GAGAGAGAGAGAGAAGAGGAGGGAAACACUGAAGAGAGACCGGCGUGACGACGUGGCGCAACAACGCAACGAUCUGGCAGAAAUUUCGAACGCACCGUGAAAGCAUAUGCAGUGACUUCAGAGGAUGCCGCACCGGAGGAGCCGGUUCGGGCCGAGCAGGGUCGGCUCGAAGACUAGUUUCACUUAAUAACAGCGGAACGUGGCCGACCGUGCGCUCCUGACGACUCGG
Long non-coding RNA from Dinoponera quadriceps, 229 nucleotides. RefSeq lists it as uncharacterized. The record is from RefSeq and is a predicted model, not a curated record. The transcript is spliced from 3 exons. NCBI's taxonomy places the organism in Eukaryota, Metazoa, Arthropoda, Insecta, Hymenoptera, Formicidae.